Molecule: non-coding RNA, 70 nt
Filed under: Paenibacillus validus
Lineage: Bacteria; Bacillati; Bacillota; Bacilli; Caryophanales; Paenibacillaceae
Also listed under: 1 other name
Source: RNAcentral
CGUCGAAACGCUCCAGAUCGGGAGCGUCGCGGAGGGACUGACCGCCCCCGCCUGAUGAUGACAGGUCAAG